GCGACCCCAGGUCAGAUGGGAUUACCCGCUGAGUUUA
RNAcentral lists this ribosomal RNA (37 nucleotides) under Capsicum baccatum. RNAcentral describes it as "partial 28S ribosomal RNA". The record is from RNAcentral. Lineage: Eukaryota; Viridiplantae; Streptophyta; Magnoliopsida; Solanales; Solanaceae.